This is a long non-coding RNA of Perognathus longimembris pacificus (Pacific pocket mouse), 1211 nucleotides long. RefSeq lists it as uncharacterized. The record is from RefSeq and is a predicted model, not a curated record. Lineage: Eukaryota; Metazoa; Chordata; Mammalia; Rodentia; Heteromyidae. The transcript is spliced from 3 exons.
GGGGGAAGGAAAGGUUGAAGGAAAGGAAUGAAGGAAGAGAGGUAUGGUAUGGCAUUAGUGGCCCAGCUUAUAAUCCUAGCAGUCAGGAGGCAAAGAUUGAAAAUGUUCAAAUUUUAAUAAUUUAAAAUAUAAGUAUUCAUCAACUCUGAUAAAUGAUUACUAAUUCAACAAAUUUAAAUAUAUUGAUUAGAUAUGUGUAGACUUAUAGAAUCCAUUCAAUCCAUGUACAAUGCCAUGUAUAGUCAGCAGUUAUUAGUACAGAUAAGUUCUAUUGGAGACUACUUGGAGCAUACUUGGAAAGAUGAAUCCAGAUUAGUAUCCAGAAUCCUUUCCAAAGAUGAUUGUGGGUGCAAUGUAGUAUAUUCUUACCUCAUUUCUCUCUAGAGGGGAGCUCUUGAUGUAAUUCAGGACACAAUAUCCCUAAAAUAUGGCAUGACAACAUUUGGGAAAAUACUCUCAGUUUCCCAAGGCCUUUCUACUGUGAAGCAUGUCUUUAGUGGAACCCUCCCUCUAAAUCUAAGAAAGGAACUAUUUUACCUCUAAAGACAGAGGACACACAGAAAAGUGUACACAAAGAGGCCUUGUUAAAAUGACCCUCCAAUCCCUAUUUAUUAGUAUUAGAUCAUAUUCCUUGUCCAAUCGUAUAUUCCCACAAUUACCCCUUUCUUAGUCCAAUAGCUUUCUUUGGAUCUUCAUAUGCUUAUGCAGGUUACUACACCAUGUCAAAUAUAUAAAAUGUAUUUGCAUUAUUUUCUUUUAUUAAUGUUCCACUUGCUGCUGAGGGCCAUAGCUACAAACCUAACAGUGUAUGCAGAAAGAAAAUUUUUUUCUCCUAUACUCUCUUCAUAUAAGAGACAAGGGUUUUAAAGAAUGGAGAAUCUGACACAGUUUUCAUUUGGAAGAGACAGUUAUUUUCUGAUGAGAAGCUUUUCCCUAAAUGCAUGGUAGCCAUCUCUAAAGUGGUACGGACAGCUGGGCUCCAUGAAUCCCAUCAGUGUCAACUGGAGAAACUGAAAGUUCACCAGAGAUUGAUAUAUCACAAUAUAACAUUUGUGUAGCGAUGAAAAAAGAGAUAUUUUGAGUUUUUCUUACUCUGUAUCAAUGACUAUUAAUGAGUAAGAGUCUCUCUAAAUUUAAAAGCGGGUAGAAAGAACAGGAAGAAAAUUGUUAAAUGGAAAAGCAUGUAAUUAUACCACCAAUGCCACCAUAAU